CCUACGGGUGGCAGCAGUGGGGAAUAUUGCGCAAUGGGCGAAAGCCUGACGCAGCGACGCCGCGUGAGGGAUGAAGGUCUUCGGAUCGGAAACCUCUGUCAGCAGGGAAGAAAGGUCACGGUGCUAAUCAGCAGUGAAUGGACGGUACCUGCAAAGGAAGGACCGGCUAACUCCGUGCCAGCAGCCGCGGUAAUACGGAGGUUGCGAGCGUUAAGCGGAUUUACUGGGCGUAAAGCGCUCGUAGGCGGUAUGUCAAGUCAAGGGUGAACUCCCCGCGCUCAACGUGGGAACUGCCUUUGAAACUGGCAAACUGGAGUGUGUUAGAGGUUAGUGGAAUUCCCGGUGUA
RNAcentral lists this ribosomal RNA (347 nucleotides) under uncultured bacterium. RNAcentral's name for it is "partial 16S ribosomal RNA". It matches the Rfam family "Bacterial small subunit ribosomal RNA", at positions 338 to 677 of the family's 1533-position model. The record is from RNAcentral.